Molecule: ribosomal RNA, 579 nt
Filed under: Leucobacter komagatae
Lineage: Bacteria; Bacillati; Actinomycetota; Actinomycetes; Micrococcales; Microbacteriaceae
Description: bacterial SSU rRNA
Rfam family: Bacterial small subunit ribosomal RNA
Source: RNAcentral
UUUUACGGAGAGUUUGAUCCUGGCUCAGGACGAACGCUGGCGGCGUGCUUAACACAUGCAAGUCGAACGAUGAAGCCCAGCUUGCUGGGUGGAAGAGUGGCGAACGGGUGAGUAACACGUGAGUAACCUGCCCUGAACUCUGGGAUAAGCACUGGAAACGGUGUCUAAUACUGGAUACGACCUAUCACCGCAUGGUGUGUAGGUGGAAAGAUUUAUCGGUUCUGGAUGGACUCGCGGCCUAUCAGCUAGAUGGUGAGGUAAUGGCUCACCAUGGCGACGACGGGUAGCCGGCCUGAGAGGGUGACCGGCCACACUGGGACUGAGACACGGCCCAGACUCCUACGGGAGGCAGCAGUGGGGAAUAUUGCACAAUGGGCGCAAGCCUGAUGCAGCAACGCCGCGUGAGGGAUGACGGCCUUCGGGUUGUAAACCUCUUUUAGUAGGGAAGAAGCGAAAGUGACGGUACCUGCAGAAAAAGCACCGGCUAACUACGUGCCAGCAGCCGCGGUAAUACGUAGGGUGCAAGCGUUGUCCGGAAUUAUUGGGCGUAAAGAGCUCGUAGGCGGCUUGUCGCGUCUG